This is a long non-coding RNA of Oncorhynchus tshawytscha (Chinook salmon), 494 nucleotides long. The record is from Ensembl. Lineage: Eukaryota; Metazoa; Chordata; Actinopteri; Salmoniformes; Salmonidae.
GGCAGGUAGUCUAGUGGUUAGAGGAGGCAGGUAGUCUAGUGGUUAGAGGAGGCAGGUAACCUAGUGGUUAGAGGAGGCAGGUAGUCUAGUGGUUAGAGGAGGCAGGUAGUCUAGUGGUUAGAGGAGGCAGGUAGUCUAGUGGUUAGUGGAGGCAGGUAGUCUAGUGGUUAGAGGAGGCAGGUAGUCUAGUGGUUAGUGGAGGCAGGUAGUCUAGUGGUUAGAGGAGGCAGGUAGUCUAGUGGUUAGUGGAGGCAGGUAGUCUAGUGGUUAGAGGAGGCAGGUAGUCUAGUGGUUAGUGGAGGCAGGUCGUCUAGUGGUUAGAGGAGGCAGGUAGUCUAGUGGUUAGAGGAGGCAGGUAGUCUAGUGGUUAGAGGAGGCAGGUCGUCUAGUGGUUAGAGGAGGCAGGUAGUCUAGUGGUUAGAGGAGGCAGGUAGUCUAGUGGUUAGAGGAGGCAGGUAGCCUAGUGGUUAGAGGAGGCAGGUAGUCUAGUGGUU